This 305-nucleotide long non-coding RNA is filed under the name Cricetulus griseus (Chinese hamster). RNAcentral describes it as "lncRNA (ENSCGRG00015042433.1)". Lineage: Eukaryota; Metazoa; Chordata; Mammalia; Rodentia; Cricetidae. The record is from RNAcentral.
CACACACACACACAGAAGCACUUCCCCCCAUCAAUCUGGUGCCAAGCAGGAAGUGACACAGCUGGGCAGAAUCAGAAUAUAAGCAGGGGCAAACAGGAAAUUGCUCUCAUCUCUUUCCUGCUGAGAUGCUGAACAGUGAAGAUGUGGGACGCUGGAGGAGUAAGAGGUCCCUGGACCUUUCUCUGGAAUAUCCUGGAGGAACCAGAGCUUUUCCCAGCAGACCGAACUCAUGAACAAGCUUGCUCACCACUCCCUACUCUCCUUCAUACAGUGAAAGCUUCAUGUUGACAGAGGAAUGGCCUCAC